AUGACCUUGGUUGUUUUUCCCCCUCUCAACCCCCCCCCCCAUUCCCAGUCAGGAUGCUCAGAAACUCGGGGCUCACUUGGAUACCUGGGACACACCGAAGCAGGCGGAGCCAGCCAGGGCAUCUCUGCUGACCCUGGCAUGUCAGUUUCCCGACAAGAGUCUUGUUCAGAAAGUUAUAAACCCCAGGCCUGAAGACUUAAGGAUUCCGACUCCACAAUAAAAACAGGAAAAACAUGUUUGGUCUUUGUAUG
This 251-nucleotide long non-coding RNA is filed under the name Vombatus ursinus (common wombat). RNAcentral's name for it is "lncRNA (ENSVURG00010004322.1)". Lineage: Eukaryota; Metazoa; Chordata; Mammalia; Diprotodontia; Vombatidae. The record is from RNAcentral.